This 1795-nucleotide ribosomal RNA is filed under the name sediment metagenome. RNAcentral's name for it is "bacterial LSU rRNA". It matches the Rfam family "Bacterial large subunit ribosomal RNA", at positions 341 to 1978 of the family's 2925-position model. The record is from RNAcentral.
CUCGGAGAUGUGUAUAAGAGACAGGUCCUGUAUGCGAAAUCUUAUUAAGUGUUAUACGAGUAGGACGGAACACGUGAAAUUCUGUCUGAAGAUGGGGGGACCACCCUCCAAGGCUAAAUACUCUCUACCGACCGAUAGUGAACCAGUACCGUGAGGGAAAGGCGAAAAGAACCCCGGGAGGGGAGUGAAAUAGAACCUGAAACCGUGUACGUACAAGCAGUGGGAGCCCCUCACUAAAGUGUCUUCACUUUAGUGAGCCAAGCAUACUAAAGACAAAAGCGCCGAUUUUGCAAACAAGGUUAAGUGCCCAUUUUUGACCCGAAGCCCAGUGUGGUUAAACUACAUGAGCAUCGGAAGCAAAAAGCGCACUUAAGAUUGGCAGCAAAAGCAAGCGGAAGAUGUUUUAGUGAGGGGUGACUGCGUACCUUUUGUAUAAUGGGUCAGCGACUUACUGUGUGUUGCGAGGUUAACCGAAUAGGGGAGCCGUAGGGAAACCGAGUCUUAAAUGGGCGAUAGUAGCAUGCAGUAGACCCGAAACCGAGCGAUCUAUCCAUGGCCAGGAUGAAGGUUGAGUAACAUCAACUGGAGGUCCGAACCCACUAAUGUUGAAAAAUUAGGGGAUGAGCUGUGGAUCGGAGUGAAAGGCUAAUCAAGCUCGGAGAUAGCUGGUUCUCCCCGAAAACUAUUUAGGUAGUGCCUCAUGUCUCACUGUUGGGGGUAGAGCACUGUUAUGGUCUAGCGGGCCGUCAAGGCUUAGCAGCCCAUUGCAAACUCCGAAUACCAACAAGUGCAAUCAUGGGAGACAGACAGCGGGUGCUAACGUCCGUUGUCAAGAGGGAAACAACCCAGACCGCCAAUUAAGGUCCCUAAACACUACUCAGUGGGAAAGGAUGUGGGAAGGCUUAGACAGUCAGGAGGUUGGCUUAGAAGCAGCCAUCCUUUAAAGAAAGCGUAAUAGCUCACUGAUCGAGUCGGCCUGCGCCGAAGAUUUAACGGGGCUAAGUAGUGUACCGAAGCUGUGGAUGCCAUUUAUGGCAUGGUAGAGGAGCGUCGUGUAAGCCUGCGAAGGGGUAUUGAAAAGUACCCUGGAGGUAUCACGAGUGCGAAUGCUGACAUGAGUAGCGAUAAAGGGAGUGAAAAGCUCCCUCGCCGAAAACCCAAGGUUUCCUGCGCAACGUUCAUCGGCGCAGGGUGAGUCGGCCCCUAAGGUAAGGCAGAAAUGCGUAGCUGAUGGGAAGCUGGUUAAUAUUCCAGCACCUUUAUUUAAUGCGAUGUGGGGACGAAGAAAGCUAGCUUAUCCGGGUGUUGGAUGUCCCGGUUGAAGCGUGUAGACAUGCUGCCUAGGCAAAUCCGGGCAGCUAAGUUGAGGCGUGAUAACGAAACUCCUUAGGGAGCCAAGUAAGUGAUGCUCUGCUUCCAGGAAAAGCCACUAAGCUUCAGUUAAAUAAAGACCGUACCGCAAACCGACACAGGUGGGUGGGAUGAGUAUUCUAAGGCGCUUGAGAGAACUCGGGAGAAGGAACUCGGCAAAUUGACACCGUAACUUCGGGAGAAGGUGUGCCUCCGGUAUGUGUAGCAUCUUGCAUGCGAAGCAGAAAGAGGUUGCAAUAAAAAGGUGGCUGCGACUGUUUAAUAAAAACACAGCACUCUGCAAACACGAAAGUGGACGUAUAGAGUGUGACGCCUGCCCGGUGCCGGAAGGUUAAGUGAUGGGGUGCAAGCUCUUGAUCGAAGCCCCGGUAAACGGCGGCCGUAACUAUAACGGUCCUAAGGUAGCGAAAUUCCUUGUCGGGUA